ACGGGAGGCAGCAGUGGGGAAUAUUGCACAAUGGGGGGAACCCUGAUGCAGCGACGCCGCGUGAGUGAAGAAGUAUUUCGGUAUGUAAAGCUCUAUCAGCAGGGAAGAAACAGGACGGUACCUGCACAAGAAGCCCCGGCUAACUACGUGCCAGCAGCCGCGGUAAUACGUAGGGGGCAAGCGUUAUCCGGAUUUACUGGGUGUAAAGGGAGCGUAGACGGCUGUGUAAGUCUGGAGUGAAACUCCGCGGCUCAACUGCGGAACUGCUCUGGAAACUAUACAGCUUGAGUACCGGAGGGGUAGGCGGAACUCCUAGUGUAGCGGUGAAAUGCGUAGAUAUUAGGAAGAACACCGGCGGCGAAGGCGGCCUACUGGACGGAAACUGACGUUGAGGCUCGAAAGCGUGGGGAGCAAACAGGAUUAGAUACCCUGGUA
Molecule: ribosomal RNA, 435 nt
Filed under: uncultured Lachnospiraceae bacterium
Lineage: Bacteria; Bacillati; Bacillota; Clostridia; Lachnospirales; Lachnospiraceae
Description: partial 16S ribosomal RNA
Rfam family: Bacterial small subunit ribosomal RNA
Source: RNAcentral